This is a long non-coding RNA of Cygnus olor (mute swan), 7042 nucleotides long. RefSeq lists it as uncharacterized. The transcript has 8 exons. The record is from RefSeq and is a predicted model, not a curated record. Lineage: Eukaryota; Metazoa; Chordata; Aves; Anseriformes; Anatidae.
UGGAGAUCAAAACCCCCUUUAGACUUUCUGUUGCAAAAGCAGCCGCCAUCACACCAUGUUGCAUCAUGGAAAAUGGUGUAGGACAUGUGGGAACCUUUCCACUGCCUGCAGUCAUCACGAGACUUUAUCGAGAGUGGAACUGAAGAUGACUUUAGGUCUUGUCGUGUCUUUGGCCAGAUGGAUGGACUCCAUCCUACCCUAUUUUCAGUUUUUCAGUGGAGAUCUCUAUUUUUUUUAUUAUUAAUGAAAAUUGCCUAAUAACACCAGGAAGCCAGCUAACAGUUAGUUCCAGGUGGAUUACCUCAGUUAUCAAUUAACCCUAAGGAGUGAGUCAGAGCUUUCACUUUCAUCUAGAAGCUACGUUUCCUCAUCACCCAAUUUAUGCAACGAUGCAGCUGCUGUGGGUACCUGCGAGAACUUGGCCAGAGGAGGAAACACACAGACAAUUACUUGCUCCAUCACCAAUUGCUGGAACUCUCUUAACUAAUACAAACCAGGACAUUGUCAGCAGCCCAUAAAUCACCGCUGCUUCCCACAUCCAGUGUCUUGUCUCAGCGUAAAGCAGCUCUCCACUCCCUAGUGUAGUUUGCCUGCAGGUGUCCUUUGUUUCUGAGAACAUCUUCAGAAUUUGCACUGAAAGAUGCAGCUCACCUGUAAGGGGAAGUGCUGGUGGGUUGUUUUUGAACAUAUCUGCAAUUCAUUACCAAAUUCUCCCAAGUGAGAAGAGUCUCUCUUUCAGGAGGAGAUACGUAGCUUUGCUUCAGAAAUCCAAAAGCAAUCAAAAAACUCUGAAAAAAAAAUGCUGAAGAUGUGACAUGACAAAUGCACCUCAUCACACACCUCUGGAUGCAGGAACAGCACUGAGCUCACCAAGCUCAGCGCAAUGUGUUCGGCUGUCGUUUCAGCUCAGAUGCAAGGCAAUUUCCUGAGCAAGCCUGAGGCUGAGUGUACGCCACGUGUAUCUCCAAAACCAGAACUGAAUGGCCUACCUGCUCUCCAGGAGGGAUUCUCCAGGCAUGUUCAUCCUUACCUAAGAAAAACGAUAAACACAAGUUAAGUCAUCUUCUAAAGUGCCCAUUAUCUCCUCUGACUGCGAGAAACCUCUUGCUGAGACUUGUGUGUCAAACUUCCAGCAGCCUAAGAUUAAGUGAGGUGACUAUGACUCGGUGACCUGCGAAAUAUUUAUUUUUGCUCUUUUGUGGUGGACCACGGUGGUGUCUCCAUCCUGCUGUGUCAUCCCUCGUCCUGCUGAGAGGCUCAGACCCCUGUUGCAGCAGUACCACCCCGUCUGGUGGUGUGAUCGCUUCCACGACCUCCCAGGGGUUUCUUUCGUGGGGUCCCACGAGCUGGAUUUCGGUAAUGUUGUCAAAAUUUCAGGGUUUUGUUUGAAAUGACGGCUGCUCCUCACCACAGCAGGGAAAUUCUGCGGACCACAAAGCAAACGUGCCCCAGGCAUUCGAACGUCACAAGGGAACUGUUUCUGUUUUCUGAUUUUGUGAUGUUUUAGAGGGCCUGACUCAUUCUCUUUGAACGCUUGGGAUUAGCAAGCCCCUACUCUGUUCAGUCUGUACAGCUCCGAAUCUUGGCACUGCAUCUGUAACGGCACAGAAACAAAAUCCAGACAGUCAAGGACACUCAGAUUUGCUUCCUAAAUUCCGUCCUUCACAGGAGCUGGGCCCAGAGGCAGGUGCUUCAGCUGGAUCACAGUGCCUCAGUCUAUGGAUGUUUUAUUCUGUGCUUUGGCAACAGAAUUUCAAGCCUCUUUUCUGCUCCGAGUCCUACUUUUGUCUGCUUUUUCAUGGACUCUGUCCCAUAAGAGACAUCCCCAGGUGCUGGCAGUGCAGUGCAUGGCCCUUGCGACGUGCUGGAUGCUCUCUGCGCCGCUCAAACCCCUGCAGGACAGUGGCUGGAGGCAUUUGGCUGCUCGGAGUGGGAUGCUGUGGGGUCGGGAUGCUUUCUGAAUGAUCCUGCAGAUGAUGGAUGGGGUCAGCUGUGUAGGUUAGGAGUAACUGAGUCCAUGAGUAAAGGCUAUGUCAUGCUGGGAAGACAGGAAGGGGAGACGUCAGCUGAAUUUUACCCUGCAAAUAUGGCUUAUUUUGUAACUUUUCUGUGAUCAGUCACAGCUAGGAACUGAAUCUGGAUAAAGUAUUAAAUCAAAUUGUGCAACUGUGAGCAGAACAGGUCCCUAAAUAACUUCAAGCAGUUUACCCAGAGCAGCACCAAGGUCCUCUCUUCUCUGAAGCAAUUUCUGGGAUGUUUUGCACGUCAAUGCAAGAGACUCAAGGAGCAUCUUGGACUUCACUGGGGCUUGCUCAAAGGUCUCCUCUGCAAGCAGGUACCUUGACUUGCUUAGAGGCAUGGCCAACCUUUAGACUCUCCUCUCUCUUCCAAGGAUCAUAAUUAUGCUCGUAACUGGUGUGCCAGCUGAACUCUCACCCUUUAUAGCCACAGAGAAAGGUGGUUGUGCUGGAUGUGUGCCUGGAGCAGGGGAUGCCUCCUCCUGACUUGGUGGUGAUCAGGAAUUCACUCGGAUGCUUUAAUGAUGAUUUUUUUCUCAAAGCAUGACAUUAACGUGUAAUCUAGCCUACGUGGCCAACAGAGGAAUUCAGUUCAACAGUGCAGAAGUUCCUCCCGCUGUUGUGGCUGGAGUAUGGGAUUUUCUUGCCCCAAACCCCCUGUUAGACAGGUGCUUUGUAUCAUCUGGAAAUAGCUGCCUUUUAGCACGGGGAUCAAGGGGAUUUCAUGGAGAGCCCAAGAAUUGCUUUCAAGCUUGGCUUAUGUGACGUUAAAAGCUGACUCCACGUGUAAUAAGCACUAAUUUUAUUAAAGCAUAUUUCAGGGUGGGCUCUCCGACAGCAAAUACCACUAUCACAAAUACAAAAGAGGGGUUGGGGGGAAAGGGUUUGUUCGGGGCUUUUAAAGUCUUUUGUUACUGUUCCAAACGAUGGUGCGUCCAACCUAACCCACAGUAAUAAAGAAAAGAUCAUGUCACAGAACUGCUGUCGGUUGAUAACAGAACAACCUGCCUUGGCAUCUGGCAGGGAUGGGCUGGCUGGCUUGCUCAGGAUCAAGUCAAAGCAGGAAUCUUGGCCGUGCUUGUGAAAACAGGAUGCCGAGAGAGCUUUUUGGGUUUCAGUUGAUUAUGACUCCACCUGCAAAAUAUUCCCAACCCGGUAUGUACUUUUCCUGAGGUUGUCCUGAUAUGGUCAAAUGGGAUCUUGGUUCCCCAAAAAACAGGAGGUGUUUUGCUUGCCCUGUCUUGCCAUCUCUUCCUCUCCCUGAUCUUUUUUUUUUUUGUGAAAAGGAGGGGAGAAAAAAUUAAGUCUGCUCAAAAUAAAGAUAAUUUCCUGCAGCAUGAGAGGAGUGUUCUCGGUGGUGUCAAGAAAAAGGAUCUUAAAUGACAAGAUGCUUGAUUCCUCCAUCUAGCUGUUAUUACUUUUCUUGCUUUUGCAGUGGAUCAGCCAUCCCUCGCAGCGUUGUGUGGGAUCGUGGCAUGAACUUCCUGACGUCAUGCAGGAGCAGCAACACAUCCUUCAUCUCCUGUGUAUCAUACCAGCAUGUUCAAAAGGAUUUAAUGAACUGUGACUGUAGUAAACUCUUACAGAAAUUGAUUUGAACAUGCUUUGCAAAGUGAGGUAUUCCUGGCGAGUGCUGCAGUUUCACAAACUCAUCCUCUCGUGUUUUGUAAUCGCCCUUUGAAAGAUCCAGAGAGAUGAUGGAAACUGGGCAUGUGGACAAACCCUUCACAUUGGAGACCCCAAGCAAAGGGAAGCGGGGAACUCUCUCUUCUUUCAGCUGCUGAGGCUUUUCCUUCUCCCAGAGGCUUACAUGCAGCCAGACAUUGCCCAACGUUCCCCUAAAGUUGGUGUCUACAUUGGAGGCACGCUUUUCCGAGCCAAGCUUUGCCAUCUUCAUUUUGCAUGUCCAAAUGGAGCUGAGAGUCUGAAGCAGGCACAGACCUUUCUGACAUCCCAAGACAUACAGUAGACCCGGAAGGAUGAGGCUGAGGCUUUGAGGUUGUAGGCACCUAGGGCUUACAGCAGUUUGAGGUCUGAUCCAGUGUCCUCUCAGUAUGCUUGGGCCAGCUUUGCUUGAAGGUGUGAGGAAGAGGAGGUCGGGGAGGAUUGACAAGAAGCCCGGACCCUGUGCAGCAGAGUGAAAACAUCAACCACAAAGUCAAUAAAAUGCCGAGUCCUGGUGGGAGUGUGCUUGCAAACAUGCUGGAGAACUGGUCUGGGACCUCAGAUUUAGUCAGUCUGGCACCACUUUGGCUUGCGAUCUGACAGCAAAUGGAUCCUUUGGUUUGGUGUGCCCUGACCUGAACGCUCCCAGACUGAAGGCGCUUGGGGAAUGUGUCCCUCAGCUGUUACCUGAGAGGUCUGGUCGUGGAUGAGUGGAGUUGGCUUUACUUCUGUAACUGAUGGGAGGUUGCCCUGGAGCUCUAUAGGAUUAAUGAGGGACCUCCACAGAAAUGCUGUCCUUCUGGUGUGUUCUCUUGAUGGUGCAAAUAAGAUGCUGGGGACAAGACUCUACCCAGAGGCAGGGAAUUGAGACAUCAAUUCCCAACAUCAGGAACUGUUUCUCCUGCAGAAACUAACGAUGAACAGCAGAGCUUGGCUUUGUCCCCAGUUGUCUGUACAGGAUGAGAUGUGAGUUAACGUAAUCUUCAUUAAAAUAUUUGUGAAGCGCACUAUUUUGGUAUAAGUGGAAGAGUGGGAAAAAAAAUUUCUGGGUUCUUUCUCCUGUCCCAUUUAUUUCCAGUAUUGGAAAUCAUUAUCUUAAGGAGAUACUGUCUAUUUAAAUAUCACAAACAUAUUUGAUUUCCCCCCACGUGCAAGCUUAGUAACUUGUAAUGGGAGUAGAAGCAAAUAGGUACGUAUAUUUCCAUUUUCUUCCUUGCUCAUUUGACAGCAUUCCACUUAGACCAUCAGGCUCAUUGCUUCUCCCACGUAGUUGGCAAGUCUUCCCCGGUCAUUUCUCAUGGUCUUCCAGUGGGGAAGAGGAAACAACUCUGAGGAGCACUAAAAUCCCACAAGAGCAGCAGAAGUUAACUGAGUGCCCUGGAUGAAAUUGAAAAACCUUCUUUUAGCUCCGUUUUGAGAAGAUGCACGGGAUAUAAAGUUCAUCGCGUCCUGGUAAGUAGCUGUUGGACAGGAUGCAAAAUCAGGGUAGGUCAGCGCUUUGAUGUUGUUACUGGAGCUGGCUUGGAGGCACUGUGUGGCUUGGACCUCAGACAGGAAUUUAGGCCAGUUGCUGAGGAUGACGGGAAGAAGAAACAGGAAAAAAAUAUAUAUGAAGUUUAAUUUUUCUAAACUUACACCUUUUGGAAGCAGUCUUGCAGUGUACGGGGCGUGUUCUUCAUGCAGGCAUCUCGGUACCAGAUCAGCUUCUGUUCCCUGCCUGGACCAGCAUCUCUCCGUGGGUUAAAACCACCAAAACCCCGCUGAAGCCCAAGGAAAAACUCCUGCGGGUUUCAAAGAGACCCCAGCUGGGCCCGCCCAGCCCAGCCCUGGGACUCGUGCGUGUCCCAUCGAGCAGUGCCCGGGUGGGUGAACUUGAGCAAAAGAGGCUCGUCGGGCUUCUUGAGAUGAGGAAUUGGCCGUGACCGCGUGCUCAGCGAGGAGGAAGCUUUGCAGACAUUACAGGACAGCUAACGUGCCCCUGCUUUUCCAGCUUUGGCUUUACUCGCUGAAAUCAUUAACGCGAGCGUGUACAACAUGUAAAUGCACCGCUUCUUGUCUGAGGAAAGGUGUUAUGCCAUAACAGCCAUCAGAGUCCUUCUCUACCUUUUCAUUUUCAGUUCCUUUUACUUCCUGGCAUUUUAUAUGGGAUCGGGGUUGUAGACCCGAUUAGACCAGGCUGAAUGAGCAGAAGAAAGCUUCAGUAAGCAAAAAAUCUACCCCUUCAAGUAUUUUUCUGUGCAUAAAAACUGCUUGACGUUAGGCUUAGUGAUGCAGGUUAGUUCCUUUGGGACUUUUCUGAUAUGGAUUCACGUUCCUCGACAAUAAAGUCAACGCUGAUAAACUCUAUUUAAGGAAAAACCAAGUUUUCUGAAUAACCUUACUCAUCUGUAAGCCAGCCAGAUCGAUGGCUCUGAAAUUUAGAGGGAAAUUUGAAGCAUUAUUACCCAACUGAUGUUUUUGAGAUCCAUGGCUGGAAAUUCCCUCCCUUGUGCUGGGUGAAUAAUGCACAAUCCGCCCUUCCAUGGGGGUUUCUUAAUGGGUUGUUCAAAGAACCGACAGCUCUGGCUAUUUCACAAAGAUCUGCGGAGGGGGGAUCUUCUUCCCAUUAACAUCUGCAGAUUUUAUGGCACAGGAGGAGGAUUGUUUCAGUGUAGCUCCAGCUAAGCCGAAGUGGUCUUUCUCUUGGUAGUUUGGUAGGAAACAUCUGCUUUCAACCAAAAACAGGAUAGGGGAAGACAUCUGGAAAGAAGCAAAGAAUCAACCAGAUUUGCCUGAAGGUUUCAUCCAAGUCUUGUGUCGUUACUUUGUCUGAACUGCUUUGCCUGUUUGCAAUAAUUAGGACAGCUGACUAGGAGAAGUGAAACAGCAUGGCCCGAAAAUCCUUACUUUAUUGGUCCCUUUUCCUUGUUUUUCAGUCUUAUUACAAGUCAGAUCAGAAGGAAGAGACUCUGAAUGCUUGCACUUCGGCCGGGAAGUCAAUGAGCUGUAUAAUUUAUGUUGGAAUGUCAGCAUCCGAGCAGGCAUAAAAUUACAACUCGUUAUCGCUGUCGGAGGAGCGGGGUCUUGGGUUUCUUGGCUGGUCGCGGUCGUCUUUUGGAGAGGUUGCCCCGGGGAAGCUUUACCUGGUGGUGUGGCGCUGCCUGGUUAUCUCAGGAAAGGAAGCCAGCAAAGAAUGUGCUGUUCUUGUUCCUGAAAGGGCUGGCAGGUCUUUCUCUUCCCCAGCACAGCUGUUGCAUUGAAUUUAUUCUAUCCCAACUCUUGUAGCUCGGGAACUGCCUGCGGGAGGCAGCCGGCACCUCCUGAGCCCUGUUACGCAGGGAAAUGGUGGAGAAGCAACCUGCAGGCAGGCUUUCCCUUCA